Molecule: ribosomal RNA, 532 nt
Filed under: Rhizobium sp. M1
Lineage: Bacteria; Pseudomonadati; Pseudomonadota; Alphaproteobacteria; Hyphomicrobiales; Rhizobiaceae
Description: bacterial LSU rRNA
Rfam family: Bacterial large subunit ribosomal RNA
Source: RNAcentral
CGAGCAGAGACGAAAGUCGGUCAUAGUGAUCCGGUGGUCCCGCGUGGAAGGGCCAUCGCUCAACGGAUAAAAGGUACGCCGGGGAUACCAGGCUGAUGACCCCCAAGAGUCCAUAUCGACGGGGUUGUUUGGCACCUCGAUGUCGGCUCAUCGCAUCCUGGGGCUGGAGCAGGUCCUAAGGGUUUGGCUGUUCGCCAAUUAAAGCGGUACGUGAACUGGGUUCAGAACGUCGUGAGACAGUUCGGUCCCUAUCUGCCGUGGGUGUAGGAAUAUUGACAGGAUCUGUCCCUAGUACGAGAGGACCGGGAUGGACAUAUCUCUGGUGGACCUGUUGUCCUGCCAAGGGCAUAGCAGGGUAGCUAUAUAUGGACGGGAUAACCGCUGAAGGCAUCGAAGCGGGAAACCCACCUGAAAACGAGUGUUCCCGAUCAGAGCCGUGGAAGACGACCACGUUGAUAGGCCGGGUGUGGAAGUGCGGCAACGCAUGAAGCUUACCGGUACUAAUAGCUCGAUCGGCUUGAUCGUUCUCAUU